Long non-coding RNA from Phyllostomus discolor (pale spear-nosed bat), 5518 nucleotides. RefSeq lists it as uncharacterized. The record is from RefSeq and is a predicted model, not a curated record. The transcript has 2 exons. NCBI's taxonomy places the organism in Eukaryota, Metazoa, Chordata, Mammalia, Chiroptera, Phyllostomidae.
UCUCUGGAAGCACGGGCUCAAAAGAUGGGGCAAGGGGACUAAGACUGGAACCGGGCAUUGAGAUUAAACGGACAAAGUUGCCAUUCUUUGCCGCCGCCCGCACCUGCAGCAAAGCAGGGAACACUGUUUCACCCCGGCCAGCUGAACGCCACAUCAGCCAGGCCCUCAGCUGGCCUCAGGGCGGCACCCCUGACCCGCCAGCUCCUCCUGGGGAGCUUUGAAACAGACGCCAAAAGAAAUGAAUAAGAUCCCUCCAGCCACUAUAUCCAAAGCAGAAAAAAAAAAAAAAAGAGCCAAUGACAGACCCUCCUCCACACUUUCAGAUCAAUGGAGAGGGAGAAAAAACUGCCUGCAAACAGAAUACAUGGAUUACGUGUGGUGCAUGAGGGUUACAUGCAUGCAAGCGUGCCAUCAUGCUUGGGACACAUAACAGCGACUAGAGCACACUUGUGUGUUAUUGCCUAGUGAGUCAUGAAUGAAGGAGACCCAAAUGAACAGCCAGCGGAUAUUGCUACACAGAAAGAGAAAAUCUCUUAUGUGGGGAGGCAUAAUAUGAUAAUUAAUUAUCAAACACAGAACUAGGAAUAAGUACACAAAGACCAACAGUCUGUUUUGUCCAUUGAUUUAUCCUAGGUGCCUCAGACAGCGCCCAACACGGGUCCACGCAUGUGUACUGAAUUGAAUUCUUGAUAGUCAUGUCAAGACGAAAUAGUCCAAGCAUAUUGAAUCAAAAAGGAGUUAGGCUACUCUGUCACUAACGGUGACCAAAUCAUUAACACCCAUCAUUAAUUACUCGAAUCUUUUACUUUUUUAGCUCCUUUUUAUGUGUCUAUGUAGCUGCAGAACUAAAAAUGACUGAAGAUGAAGGCAAUACAGUUCCCAUCUAUUUGCACUGAAAGCCACGCCCCUGGCAAGCAAGAUAUUACGCGUUGUUUAAACGUCUUGGUAGAUGAGCCGAGGAAUAAUUUCGGUGAGUCUUCCAGGAUCGCAAGGCUACUAACUUAAAAAGAAAAAAUUAAACUACGAAGAUACACAUAUACAUAUUCAAGGCUCACAUUUUAAGUUUGGCAACAUGGGGGCAAAAACCCAGCUGUCUCUAGUUUAAACUUGGACACACACACACACACACACACGCCAAGUUAAGUGGCAAUUCUGAGUGGGAUUAUAAAAAUGAGCACAUUCAUAGCCAUUCGGUGCAAUACUCACUAGUGAGUGAGCAAGCUGCCCACCACCCCCCCUUACAAGUCAGACUUUAACAAUCAUUCUGAUAUAUAUAUAUAAAGUGGAGGGAAAACUAUAAUAAAAAGAGGCCUUUAAUUAAAUGAAAUUGCCACUCUGGGAUCAGGGCUUCAUGCUUGUCAGCGUCCUCUCAAAAUAAACAUCUCAAAACCAGGCCUUGCUACUGUCACUUUCUCACAGGCAAAGCAUACUGGGUAAUCCCCAGGCAUCUUGACAGCUACAUAAUGUUCAAACUGUUUCACGGGUGAAUGGCAGCAGUUGCGUGAAAGAAAAUAUUAAUGUCUGGAAUUAAUAGAAAAAGGGACCAGGGUUUACAAAGCCAAACAAGGAAAGAGGGUGUCAAGUUAGCACGGCGUUAAUUGUUCGGGAAAAUUUGAGGAAGGGGGGGUGGGCCCGGGGUGACUUUUCUCUCUGAGCCUAAGUGCCUCACUGUCAGCGAGGUGAUGUCUCAACUAGGCAGGCUCUGAAAAGGGGUCGGCUGCUCAGAAAUGCAACGCCCAGAUUAUACAAAUGACGAGCUGACACCUGAAUGAGUGGACUUUAACCUUUUCCACUGGGAGCUUCGGAAACAAUGAAGCUCUUUGGAAUAAAGAGGUAGGGUGGUACUUGGGGAGGAGAAUGACCCUUAGACGCCGGGGAUGGUGCCUCCAGGCUGGGGCUGCCACCGAUUCUGCCAUGGGGACCCCAUGGAGUGACACAACCUCAAAUUUAGAAUAUCAAGGCCUUCGGUAUCAGUGGCCCUAGUUUCCUGCUCUACCCCAAACACACUGAGGCUCUGCGUACACUCAGAGAGAUGACCAGCCAUUCACCAGUCCUCCAAAAAUGUCUUACCCAUUUAUACUCCUGACACCAUGUGUGACAGUCCUCGUUUCUGCUCAUGCUCAGCGACACUAUGGCCCGCCAAGUCUCCCUGGACUCCUUACCUGUCAGGCCUGCUAACAUCGCUCACGUGCCACGCACCUGUACAGGUGACAGUGCAUGGCUCCGUGCCCGGCACUAGGAAGGGGGUUCGGAGGAAAAUUAAUCCCAGACCCUGCUCUUCUGCACCUGGCAGGCAGCAGGCAGACUGUAAAUAUCACCCAAGAGGUAAGUGUCAAAACAGAAUUGAAUUUGAAGUUAUGCAAGUUCACGGUGAGGGGAGAUUAGUCUAGCCUGGGUGUCAGGGGAGGCUGCAAGAGAGAUGGGAGUUGAAGUCUGGGUGAACCUGGAUGUGCAGAGAGGGACCGAGGUCCUCUGAAUGGAAGGGAUUGGCACCGAAAGGGCAGGAGGGGACAGAGACCAUAGUGACAAGAUGCGUAUAGUGCCAGGCAAGCAUUUCAGUCCAUCCAGAAAUGAUGGGUAAAAAUGUAAUUUAAAAACGCAGUUUAAAAGGCAGAUCUGAGUCAGAGACCAAAGUGCCCUAAGAUAAUAGUUUCAUUUUCGUUCUAUAAGACAGAUAGGGUGUUUUCACUCUGUUUCGCCCUCUUUCCUUUUGGUAUUUUAACAAAGGAAAGACACGCUCACAACUCUGAAAGGUAGGAAAUAAAAAGUGAAGUCUCUGCCCUCUUAACUUCUCCUUACCCCCAUGCCUGUCAAGUGCCAGUUUCUUGGGUGUUUUAUAGGACAAAUAUAUAUCAGAAUUGCUUUUAACUCGAAUGUAAUCACAUCAAAUGCACUGGACCGCAUGCUUUCACUUUCGCAAUUAAAGCACCUUGGAGCUCUGCUCAGACCAUCGAUAGAGAUUCAUGCAUUUCGGGUUUUCAGGAAACAACUGUGGGAGUUAUUGUGUUAGUGUGUCUUCACUGAUGUCACUAGUCACCAAAUAAUGGACAUUUACAUCCCUUCCUUCUUUUUUUUUACUAGUACAGACGAUACUAUAAUAAGCAUCUGGUAUGACUCUCUUGGGGUUCAUAAGUGGUUACACUGAAAAGAAAUUUUAACAUUGGAACUGCUUAGCAAAUUAAUGUGUCCCUUUUCUGGUUCCGGCAGACACUGUCAAAUUCUUCUCCCAAAAAUCUGUCCAAUGUAUACUCCCACCAAGUGGGGGGAGUAUAUAUAUAUAUAUAUUUUUUUUUUUUUACUUGUUUCUCUACAUGCUUACCAACAUUGGACAUUAUAAACCUUUUUAAAAAACCAAUGUCAGAUGGAAAAUGGUAUCUCCAUUUUUCUCUAUUGACAGCAUUUGAGUAAAUCCCCUUUUAGUGACCUACAUUCCUACUUCUUUGUCAAGGAAAUUCUUGUUCAUAUCCUUUUCCCCCCUGUUCUAUGGGUUCACGGUUUAUCAUUUGCUUACAGAUCUUGAAGGGUCCGUAAUUAAGGCAAUCGGUCACUGGCUAUACAUCUUUUUAUAAUUUGUUUACACUUAUGUUAUUUCUUGCAAUGAGUAAGUUUCAUUUUUAUUUAGUCAAAUUUACCAAAUUUCAGUCACAUUUAUGGCUUUGUAGUUUAACAUGCUGCUCUGAAGAAAUUUUCUCACUAUAGGAUUUUAAAUUAGUUCAGCUCUGUUUUCUUCCACAGAUUUUGUAGAGUUUCGUUUUUUACACUUAAGCCUUUGGUCCAUCUGGAAUUAUUUUAGUGUGUGGAGGGAAGGAAAUUCAGGUUUGCUUAUGAGCAGGAGAGUAAAAUGAUCAGAGCCAAGCUGGAGAAAUAUAAAUCUGGCAGCAGCUUAUAACUCAGAAGGCAGAAGAAACGGGCUAAGGCAGGCCAACCUGGCCACUGAGAUAAUGCAGCACCGGGGCAUCGAAGACGAGGAAGAGAGCUGCCCCAAGACAGUAAGAAGUAAAAACCCAAAUCUCACGAACACGAGAAUGUUCGUCUCAAGAGAUGCUCCGUGGGCUGGAAGGGUUAAGUCACAAAACACCAUCGAGAAAAGCCAUUUAUGGUUUUCUCACUUAGGACUUCGCAUUACAGAGUAAAACAAUGAGCUCUGCCAAGACCUUCAUGAAAGAAAGACGACAACAACAAUAAAACAGCUGAAAACUUUUCCACUCUGUAUUUCGUAAGAUGGUUUUAACACAGAAAACACUUGACUUGGAGCCCCUAUGAAUGUAAUAUUACACUCCUCCAAUUCAAAGCUCUGGAUAUAAAAUAUAUGUCCAGAAUUAUCUAGUCAUAUGCAUGGUAGAUGGAUUAUAAAUAGGUGAUAAGUGAAUGAAUAAACUUUGGAUUAAGAUGGGCAUGGUGAAUUUAAACACAGGCCUUGCUUUUAACAACUGCAGUACUUGGGGCAACGCCAUGUCCUUAUGCCUCCUGUUUUCACCUAUAAGAAGGAAAAUGCCAACCUCAAAGAAUUACAUUGAAAUGGAAUGAACCAAUAUACAUCGAUGAUAGCAGGUCCAGCUACUUACUGAGAAAGUCCCAUGGUAAGUGCUACUAUUUUUAGCAUUACUGUUCAAUUAAGUAAAAUGGGGGAGAGUGUAUAACAAUGCGUAGUACUAAUUAAAUAUUCAUUCACUUUAUUUAGGCUGUCCAAGAUCAUAUGUACUGAUAAUUUGUCACUCUCAUAUCCCUUCUAUUGCCAUCUCUAAAGGUACGAAAGUUCUAUCACCUCUCUUCAUACAGUGAACAGAAAAUGCCUUAUUUUAUGCAUUUCUUACAAGGAUCUCCUGUGGCUGGGGAAAUUUUCCAUGUAACAAUCUGAGCUGUCCUGGAAGGAAAGGGAUAUAUAAAAGCUAAAAAUAAUGACGUAUCCAGAACCCCUGGCUACCACUCUACUCCAAUCCUAUGGUUAUUCAUUGAGGAUUUCAGGGCCCUUGGCAGGUAAGAAUCUGAUGAAAAUAACAGGCAGCUCAGUGCAAAGGGCACACGACAACUCGAAUCUAUCAUCAGGAGAGUCAUCAAGAACCAUAUUAUUUGACAAUUUUGUUCUCCUCUUGGUAUUUUAUUUAUCAUCUUGAGAGGCUGUUACCACACUGAGAGCGUUAAUGGGGAAAAAAAUGGCCAGUCCCAGCAGGUAAGUGGUAAAUAGAACCAACAAUAUCACCUUGACUGGCUCGAGAACCAGUCGAACAGGCAAAUAAAAUGAAUCUGUAACGAGGCUCUAAUUACAAACAACUUCUCUUUGUUUUUUCGAAUAUAACAACUCACAGCAGUGUUCGAGAAAGUAGAAAGAUACACACAAAAAGGAAAUUAUCACCAUCUAUAAAAUUAAUGUCAACAUGUACUUAGACCUUAGACACACACACCUUUCACAAAAAGGAAUCAGCCUUCAUAUUGUAUUUUUACCUGUUUUGUCAGCAACACAUCAGCCUCCUUACCUCCCCAUAAAUGCAGUUCUACAAAUCAGUUCAAUGGUCACUUA